Long non-coding RNA from Centrocercus urophasianus (Greater sage-grouse), 522 nucleotides. RefSeq lists it as uncharacterized. The transcript has 4 exons. The record is from RefSeq and is a predicted model, not a curated record. Lineage: Eukaryota; Metazoa; Chordata; Aves; Galliformes; Phasianidae.
CAGACUAUAGCCAGUCCAUAAUUUUGGCAUCCCCUGUGGACAAAGUGGUUCUCUGUCUGACUGACUAUGAAGGACGAGCAAGAAUCCACUUGAAGAUCUAAUAUGGGGCCCUGGUGGUCCUGGGAUACCAGUCUGGCCAGGUGGACCUUUUUGUACAUAGAAGAAAAGAAAGAAGUUACCUGGUAAUCCUGGAUCUCCAGGAGACCCUUUUUGACCUUGUGGACCAAGCAGAAGUGUUGGGUCACCUCUCUUUCCUGUUAAGGAAACCCUGGCUCCCCCUUUUGUCCUUUCUCAAGGCGAAUGUUAAUGCUGCCACCAUCUCCUGGAAGCCCUCUUUCACCUUUGAACCAAACAUAUGCAAUGACCAGGUGUCCCCUUACCAAUGACGAUCCAGAUCCCAAAAAAGAAAAGAAAAAAAGAAAAAAGAAGGAAAGUUGUAAGUUAAUCUCCAGAAAAGAAGUAAUAAAGGAAUUGAAGGGAAAGCAGAUAUGUCUCUUGUUCUUGCAUUGUUUCUGCCCCUAA